Molecule: ribosomal RNA, 513 nt
Filed under: uncultured bacterium
Lineage: Bacteria
Description: partial 16S ribosomal RNA
Rfam family: Bacterial small subunit ribosomal RNA
Source: RNAcentral
GACGAACGCUGGCGGCGUGCUUAACACAUGCAAGUCGAACGAAAAGAGGGAAAGAGCUUGCUCUUUCCGGAAUUGAGUGGCAAACGGGUGAGUAACACGUAAACAACCUGCCUUCAGGAUGGGGACAACAGACGGAAACGACUGCUAAUACCGAAUAAGUUCCAAGAGCCGCAUGGCCCAUGGAAGAAAAGGUGGCCUCUACCUGUAAGCUAUCGCCUGAAGAGGGGUUUGCGUCUGAUUAGCUGGUUGGAGGGGUAACGGCCCACCAAGGCGACGAUCAGUAGCCGGUCUUAGAGGAUGAACGGCCACACUGGGACUGAGACACGGUCCAGACUCCUACGGGAGGCAGCAGUGGGGAAUCUUCCGCAAUGGGCGAAAGCCUGACGGAGCAACGCCGCGUGAGUGAUGACGGCCUUCGGGUUGUAAAACUCUGUGAUCCGGGACGAAAAGGCAGAGUGCGAAGAACAAACUGCAUUGACGGUACCGGAAAAGCAAGCCACGGCUAACUACGUG